GUAAGGGUAUUUUGGUCAUUUAGUUAUUAAAAUGAAUUAAAAACAAAAUUAAAAGCCAAUUUUUGUCCAUCUUCUUCAUUAGGCAAAAAUUUCAAGGGUUCUCCAUAGCUAGGGUUUGUUUCAAGCUUCCAAGCUCCAUAAUAAGUGAUUCCAAGCCCCGUUUUUAAUGUUCCUUACGUUUUUGGAAUCCCGGAAGCUCG
Molecule: long non-coding RNA, 200 nt
Filed under: Gossypium barbadense (sea-island cotton)
Lineage: Eukaryota; Viridiplantae; Streptophyta; Magnoliopsida; Malvales; Malvaceae
Description: long non-coding RNA (GBAR_LNC002159)
Source: RNAcentral